This 507-nucleotide ribosomal RNA is filed under the name uncultured bacterium. RNAcentral describes it as "partial 16S ribosomal RNA". The record is from RNAcentral.
GGAGUUAGCCGGUGCUUCUUCUGUGAGUGAUGUCCUUCCUGCCGGCUAUUAACCCGCAGGCCUUCUUCCUCACUGAAAGUGCUUUACAACCCGAAGGCCUUCUUCACACACGCGGCAUGGCUGGAUCAGGGUUGCCCCCAUUGUCCAAUAUUCCCCACUGCUGCCUCCCGUAGGAGUCUGGGCCGUGUCUCAGUCCCAGUGUGGCUGAUCAUCCUCUCAGACCAGCUACGGAUCGUCGCCUUGGUGAGCCGUUACCUCACCAACCAGCUAAUCCGACAUAGGCUCAUCCGAUAGCGCGAGGCCCGAAGGUCCCCCGCUUUCCCCCGUAGGGCGUAUGCGGUAUUAGCCUGGGUUUCCCCAGGUUAUCCCCCACUACCGGGCAGAUUCCUAUGCAUUACUCACCCGUCCGCCGCUCGCCACCAGGUAGCAAGCUCCCCGUGCUGCCGCUCGACUUGCAUGUGUUAGGCCUGCCGCCAGCGUUCAAUCUGAGCCANAAUCAAACUCUGA